GAAAUGCGAUAAGUAAUGUGAAUUGCAGAAUUCAGUGAAUCAUCGAGUCUUUGAACGCACAUUGCGCCCCCUGGUAUUCCGGGGGGCAUGCCUGUCCGAGCGUCAUUGCUGCCCUCAAGCCCGGCUUGUGUGUUGGGUCUUCGUCCCCCCGCUCCAGGGGGGACGGGCCCGAAAGGCAGCGGCGGCACCGCGUCCGGUCCUCGAGCGUAUGGGGCUUUGUCACUCGCUCUGUAGGCCCGGCCGGCGCCUGCCGACCCCCUCAACCAUUAUUUCUCCAGGUUGACCUCGGAUCGGGUAGGGAUACCCGCUGAACUUAA
RNAcentral lists this unclassified non-coding RNA (317 nucleotides) under uncultured Penicillium. RNAcentral's name for it is "sequence contains ITS1". The stretch from base 1 to 105 matches the Rfam family "5.8S ribosomal RNA", at positions 50 to 154 of the family's 154-position model. The record is from RNAcentral. Lineage: Eukaryota; Fungi; Ascomycota; Eurotiomycetes; Eurotiales; Aspergillaceae.